GGGCAAUUGGUUUAGUGGUAUGAUUCUUGCUUUGGGUGUAAGGGGUCUUGAGUUCGAUUCUUGAAAUGCCAU
Molecule: transfer RNA, 72 nt
Filed under: Ipomoea nil (Japanese morning glory)
Lineage: Eukaryota; Viridiplantae; Streptophyta; Magnoliopsida; Solanales; Convolvulaceae
Rfam family: tRNA
About the family: Transfer RNA (tRNA) molecules are approximately 80 nucleotides in length. Their secondary structure includes four short double-helical elements and three loops (D, anti-codon, and T loops).
Source: Rfam by way of RNAcentral